UCCCUGGUGGUCCAGCAGCUAAGACUCUGUGCUUCCAAUGCAGUGAGUGUGGGUUCGAUCCCUAGUCAGGGAA
This 73-nucleotide transfer RNA is filed under the name Capra hircus (goat). It matches the Rfam family "tRNA". From Rfam's summary of the family: Transfer RNA (tRNA) molecules are approximately 80 nucleotides in length. The record is from Rfam by way of RNAcentral. RNAcentral also lists the same sequence under 1 other name. Lineage: Eukaryota; Metazoa; Chordata; Mammalia; Artiodactyla; Bovidae.